Molecule: ribosomal RNA, 720 nt
Filed under: Paenibacillus sp.
Lineage: Bacteria; Bacillati; Bacillota; Bacilli; Caryophanales; Paenibacillaceae
Description: bacterial SSU rRNA
Rfam family: Bacterial small subunit ribosomal RNA
Source: RNAcentral
AGUCGAGCGGACUUGAUGAGAAGCUKGCUUCUCUGAUAGUUAGCGGCGGACGGGUGAGUAACACGUAGGCAACCUGCCCUCAAGCUUGGGACAACUACCGGAAACGGUAGCUAAUACCGAAUAGUUGUUUUCUUCUCCUGAAGAAAACUGGAAAGACGGAGCAAUCUGUCACUUGGGGAUGGGCCUGCGGCGCAUUAKCUAGUUGGUGGGGUAACGGCUCACCAAGGCGACGAUGCGUASCCGACCUGAGAGGGUGAUCGGCCACACUGGGACUGAGACACGGCCCASACUCCUACGGGAGGCAGCAGUAGGGAAUCUUCCGCARUGGGCGAAAGCCUGACGGAUCAAUGCCGCGUGAGUGAUGAAGGUUUUCGGAUCGUAAAGCUCUGUUGCCRGGGAAGAACGCUUGGGAGAGUAACUGCUCUCAAGGUGACGGUACCUGAGAAGAAAGCCCCGGCUAACUACGUGCCAGCAGCCGCGGUAAUACGUAGGGGGCAAGCGUUGUCCGGAAUUAUUGGGCGUAAAGCGCGCGCAGGCGGUCAUUUAAGUCUGGUGUUUAAUCCCGGGGCUCAACCCCGGAUCGCACUGGAAACUGGGUGACUUGAGUGCAAAAAAGGAGAGUGGAAUUCCACGUGUAGCGGUGAAAUGCGUAAAUAUGUGGAGGAACACCAGUGGCGAAGGCGACUCUCUGGGCUGUAACUGACGCUGAGGCGCGAAAGC